GAUGAACGCUGGCGGCGUGCCUAAUACAUGCAAGUCGAGCGAACGGACGAGAAGCUUUCUUCUCUGAUGUUAUCGGCGGACGGGUGAGUAACACGUGGAUAACCUACCUAUAACACUGUGAUAACUUCGCGAAACCGGAGCUAAUACCGGAUAAUAUUUUGAACCUCAUGGUUCAAAAGUGAAAGACGGUCUUUCUGUCACUUAUAGAGGGAUCCGCGCUGCAUUAGCUAGUUGGUAAGGUAACGGCUUACCAAGGCAACGCUGCAUAGCCGACCUGGGAGGGUGAUCAGCCACACUGGAACUGAGACAAGGUCCAGACUAAUCCGGGAGGCAGCAGUGGGGAAUCUUCCGCAAUGGGCGAAAGCCUGACGGGGCAACGCCGCGUGAGUGAUGAAGGUCUUGGGAUCGUAAAACUCUGUUAUUAGGGAAGAACAUAUGUGUAAGUAACUGUGCACAUCUUGACGGUACCUAAUCAGAAAGCCACGGCUAACUACGUG
RNAcentral lists this ribosomal RNA (497 nucleotides) under uncultured bacterium. RNAcentral's name for it is "partial 16S ribosomal RNA". It matches the Rfam family "Bacterial small subunit ribosomal RNA", at positions 28 to 507 of the family's 1533-position model. The record is from RNAcentral.